This 468-nucleotide ribosomal RNA is filed under the name uncultured bacterium. Its description in RNAcentral is "partial 16S ribosomal RNA". It matches the Rfam family "Bacterial small subunit ribosomal RNA", at positions 28 to 507 of the family's 1533-position model. The record is from RNAcentral.
GACGAACGCUGGCGGCGUGCUUAACACAUGCAAGUCGAACGGAAAGGCCCUGCUUUUGUGGGGUGCUCGAGUGGCGCACGGGUGAGUAACACGUGAGUAACCUGCCCUUGAAUUUGGGAUAACUUCAGGAAAAUGGGGCUCAUACCGGAUAGGAGCUCCUGCUGCAUGGUGGGGGUUGGAAAGUUUCGGCGGUUGGGGAUGGACUCGCGGCUUAUCAGCUUGUUGGUGGGGUAGUGGCUUACCAAGGCUUUGACGGGUAGCCGGCCUGAGAGGGUGACCGGCCACAUUGGGACUGAGAGACGGCCCAGACUCCUACGGGAGGCAGCAGUGGGGAAUAUUGCACAAUGGGCGGAAGCCUGAUGCAGCAACGCCGCGUGCGGGAUGACGGCCUUCGGGUUGUAAACCGCUUUCGCCGGUGACGAAGCGUGAGUGACGGUAAUGGGUAAAGAAGCACCGGCUAACUACGUG